Long non-coding RNA from Oreochromis aureus, 1273 nucleotides. RefSeq lists it as uncharacterized. The transcript is spliced from 5 exons. The record is from RefSeq and is a predicted model, not a curated record. NCBI's taxonomy places the organism in Eukaryota, Metazoa, Chordata, Actinopteri, Cichliformes, Cichlidae.
AAAAUUGAUAGUAUUUUUUUUUUUUAUUUUAAAAUUCAGAUACUGAUAUACAGAUUAAAAGUUAGGCCUGCAGUAUAUCAUUGUUAACCUUCUGAUUAAAAAAAUCAACAGCAAAAGAAGAUGUUAAAAAUAAAGUUCAUGGUUGUGAAUAAAAUUGAUUUCAAUAAUCUUUUUUAAUUAUUAUUUUAAAACAACUUGAUGUUGUUGUGUUUCACGCCAUAUUAUCAGACCACCUUAAGUGGGUCCGCCUUAAAUUUUGAGUUUGUGUGAUCGCUGUUGAUUGGUAGCUAAACUGCUGGUAAACUGUGUACAGAAAAAAAAAUUCUGGUAGCAACAUUGUGCAGUAUGAGCGAACCAUUUCACCAAAAAAAGGGGAAGCAAGGCAAGACGUGGCUGCAGCGGUCUGCAGACGUGACUUCUGAUCAAAUUCGAACCUCCUCCUAAAGAAACAAAGAGCGACAUUACAUUGCGGGAUGACGUCACCUGAAAAUGACCAAUAGCGCAGCGCGCUGCUGAGCUGUGUGCCAACCGCUCUUUUUUUCAUGCAGGAGACUCAAGUUGGCUUCGCUAACGGACACAGUUUUGAACUCGUAUAUUAGCGCCAUUUAUUGCUGCUUGGACCACAGCAUCUUCGGAAUUUGUAGACAUCCUGGCAGCUUACAAUUAGUUCGAGGUGAGGUUUAAGGGUGGUGGCACAGCUAAGACCCAAGAGUCUCUUUCAAGACACUGAAUUUGAGCAGAAACCAUAAGGAUACUCAAAGGACCUGUGACUCUCAGGAAAUGCAUCAAAUGAGAGGACAGAUGAAACAGUUUCAAGACAAUGGCAGGAAAAACAUGCUGAAGAUUGAAACAAACCUUGGCUGGAAAUAUUUGAAGGUAUCUAGCCAGUCCACAAUGAAAGCUUCGUUGCACCCCAUGAGUCUUCUGGCAGAAAUGAUGGCACCUGUAUUCUUUGGUUUCCCUAAACAUCACACCCUGCCUGUUUAUACGAGGCGCUUCAAUUAAGUCUGCACCCAAAGAUUCAACAAGAGGUAAGCAGUGGUAUUAUUCAAGUUUUGCUAAAGAAAGAUGGACAGGAGACACUAAUCUUAAUCGGCCGAGCUCAGGUUCAUGUCCAGGUGAGCAGUUUCAUACGCUAUAAAAUGUAAAUUGAAUGAUAGGUCUCAUCACCAUGCAUUCAGCCAUUAACUUCAAGUUCUAUGAUAAAUCAAUAGGAAACUUAAAUACGUUUUCCAACAAAUUAUGAUUGUGAUUAGGGCUGCGUUGUCUAUGU